This 497-nucleotide ribosomal RNA is filed under the name uncultured bacterium. RNAcentral describes it as "partial 16S ribosomal RNA". It matches the Rfam family "Bacterial small subunit ribosomal RNA", at positions 28 to 507 of the family's 1533-position model. The record is from RNAcentral.
GAUGAACGCUGGCGGCGUGCCUAAUACAUGCAAGUCGAGCGAACGGACGAGAAGCUUGCUUCUCUGAUGUUAGCGGCGGACGGGUGAGUAACACGUGGAUAACCUACCUAUAAGACUGGGAUAACUUCGGGAAACCGGAGCUAAUACCGGAUAAUAUUUUGAACCGCAUGGUUCAAAAGUGAAAGACGGUCUUGCUGUCACUUAUAGAUGGAUCCGCGCUGCAUUAGCUAGUUGGUAAGGUAACGGCUUACCAAGGCAACGAUGCAUAGCCGACCUGAGAGGGUGAACGGCCACACUGGAACUGAGACACGGUCCAGACUCCUACGGGAGGCAGCAGUAGGGAAUCUUCCGCAAUGGGCGAAAGCCUGACGGAGCAACGCCGCGCGAGUGAUGAAGGUCUUCGGAUCGUAAAACUCUGUUAUUAGGGAAGAACAUAUGUGUAAGUAACUGUGCACAUCUUGACGGUACCUAAUCAGAAAGCCACGGCUAACUACGUG